CUGCAAGUCGAACGGCAGCAUGAUCUAGCUUGCUAGAUUGAUGGCGAGUGGCGGACGGGUGAGUAACGCGUAGGAAUAUGCCUUGAAGAGGGGGAUAACCUGAGGAAACUCAGGCUAAUACCGCGUAAUCUCUGAGGAGAAAAGCUGGGGACCUUAUGGCCUGGCGCUUCAAGAAUAGCCUGCGUUCGAUUAGCUAGUUGGUGGGGUAAAGGCCUACCAAGGCGACGAUCGAUAGCUGGUCUGAGAGGAUGAUCAGCCACACUGGGACUGAGACACGGCCCAGACUCCUACGGGAGGCAGCAGUGGGGAAUAUUGGACAAUGGGGGCAACCCUGAUCCAGCAAUGCCGCGUGUGUGAAGAAGGCCUGAGGGUUGUAAAGCACUUUCAGUGGGGAGGAGGCUUGAUAGGUUAAGAGCUAAUUAAGCGGACGUUACCCACAGAAGAAGCACCGGCUAACUCCGUGCCAGCAGCCGCGGUAAUACGGAGGGUGCGAGCGUUAAUCGGAAUUACUGGGCGUAAAGGGUGCGUAGGUUGUUCAUUAAGUUAUCUGUGAAAUUCCCGGGCUUAACCUGGGGUGGUCAGAUAAUACUGGUGGACUAGAGUAUAGGAGAGGGUAGUGGAAUUUCCGGUGUAGCGGUGAAAUGCGUAGAGAUCGGAAGGAACACCAGUGGCGAAGGCGGCUACCUGGCCUAAUACUGACACUGAGGCACGAAAGCGUGGGUAGCAAACAGGAUUAGAUACCCUGGUAGUCCACGCUGUAAACGAUGUCAACUAGCUGUUGGUCAUAUAAAUGUGAUUAGUGCGUAGCUAACGCGCUAAGUUGACCGCCCUGGGGAGUAUGUCGCAGAUAAAACUCAAAGAUGACGGGGGCCCGCACAGGCGGGUGGGAGCAUGGUGGUUUACUG
This 905-nucleotide ribosomal RNA is filed under the name uncultured bacterium. RNAcentral's name for it is "bacterial SSU rRNA". It matches the Rfam family "Bacterial small subunit ribosomal RNA", at positions 55 to 952 of the family's 1533-position model. The record is from RNAcentral.